RNAcentral lists this ribosomal RNA (252 nucleotides) under uncultured bacterium. RNAcentral describes it as "partial 16S ribosomal RNA". It matches the Rfam family "Bacterial small subunit ribosomal RNA", at positions 524 to 776 of the family's 1533-position model. The record is from RNAcentral.
UACGUAGGGGGCAAGCGUUGUCCGGAUUUAUUGGGCGUAAAGAGCGUGUAGGCGGCUUGGUAGGUCUCGCGUCAAAACCUGAGGCUCAACCUCAGUUCGCGUGGGAAACCACCUAGCUAGAGUCCGAGAGAGGAUGGCGGAAUUCCUAGUGUAGAGGUGAAAUUCGUAGAUAUUCGCAAGAACACCAGUGGCGAAGGCGGCUCACUGGCCCGAUACUGACGCUGAGGCACGAAAGCGUGGGGAGCAAACAGG